RNAcentral lists this ribosomal RNA (614 nucleotides) under uncultured bacterium. Its description in RNAcentral is "bacterial SSU rRNA". It matches the Rfam family "Bacterial small subunit ribosomal RNA", at positions 91 to 687 of the family's 1533-position model. The record is from RNAcentral.
UCGAGUGGCGGAACGGGUGAGUAAUGCAUGAGAAUCUGCCCUUUUGCCUGGGGGAUAACGUAGGGAAACUUACGCCUAAUACCGCAUAAGACCUAAGGGUGAAAGCGGGGGAUCUUCGGACCUCGCGGCGAGAGAUGAGCUCAUGUUGGAUUAGCUAGUUGGUAGGGUAAAGGCCUACCAAGGCGACGAUCCAUAGCUGGUCUGAGAGGAUGAUCAGCCACACUGGGACUGAGACACGGCCCAGACUCCUACGGGAGGCAGCAGUGGGGAAUAUUGGACAAUGGGGGCAACCCUGAUCCAGCAAUGCCGCGUGUGUGAAGAAGGCCUUCGGGUUGUAAAGCACUUUCAGUAGGGAGGAAAGGUGCGUAGCUAAUACCUACGCAAUUGACGUUACCUACAGAAGAAGCACCGGCUAACUCCGUGCCAGCAGCCGCGGGUAAUACGGAGGGUGCGAGCGUUAUUCCGGAAUUACUGGGCGUAAAGCGCACGCAGGCGGUUGCCCCAAGUCAGAUGUGAAAACCCCCCGGGCCUUAACCUGGGGGAACUGCCUUUUGAAACUGGGGCGACCUAGAGUAUGAAAGAGGAAAGCCGAAUUUCCCGUGUAGCAGUGAAAU